Molecule: ribosomal RNA, 449 nt
Filed under: uncultured bacterium
Lineage: Bacteria
Description: bacterial SSU rRNA
Rfam family: Bacterial small subunit ribosomal RNA
Source: RNAcentral
CCCAGACUCCUACGGGAGGCAGCAGUGGGGAAUAUUGGGCAAUGGGCGCAAGCCUGACCCAGCAACGCCGCGUGAAGGAAGAAGGCUUUCGGGUUGUAAACUUCUUUUCUCAGGGACGAAGCAAGUGACGGUACCUGAGGAAUAAGCCACGGCUAACUACGUGCCAGCAGCCGCGGUAAUACGUAGGUGGCAAGCGUUAUCCGGAUUUACUGGGUGUAAAGGGCGUGUAGGCGGGAAAGCAAGUCAGAUGUGAAAACCAUGGGCUCAACCUGUGGCCUGCAUUUGAAACUGUACGGCUAGAGUACGGGAGGGGCAGGCGGAAUUCCUAGUGUAGCGGUGAAAUGCGUAGAUAUUAGGAGGAACACCGGCGGCGAAGGCGGCCUGCUGGACCGAAACUGACGUUGAGGCUCGAAAGCGUGGGGAGCAGACAGGAUUAGAUACCCCUGUAA